RNAcentral lists this ribosomal RNA (494 nucleotides) under uncultured bacterium. RNAcentral describes it as "partial 16S ribosomal RNA". It matches the Rfam family "Bacterial small subunit ribosomal RNA", at positions 28 to 507 of the family's 1533-position model. The record is from RNAcentral.
GACGAACGCUGGCGGCGCGCUUAACACAUGCAAGUCGAACGGAAAGGCCUGCUUUCCCUUGUGGAUUGCGGGUACUCGAGUGGCGAACGGGUGAGUAACACGUGAGUGAUCUGCCCCCAACUUGGGUAUAAGCCUGGGAAACUGGGUCUAAUUCCCGAUAGGGCUGCAGGGUGGUGCCUGUGGUGGAAAACGAUUUUCUAGUGGUUGGGGAUGAGCUCGCGGCCUAUCAGCUUGUUGGUGGGGUAAUGGCCUACCAAGGCGGCGACGGGUAGCCGGCCUGAGAGGGUGGACGGCCACAUUGGGACUGAGAUACGGCCCAGACUCCUACGGGAGGCAGCAGUGGGGAAUAUUGCACAAUGGGCGGAAGCCUGAUGCAGCGACGCCGCGUGGGGGAUGACGGCCUUCGGGUUGUAAACUCCUUUCGACCGCGAGGAAGCCACCUGGUUGGAAGGGUGGUGACGGUAGUGGUAGAAGAAGCACCGGCUAACUACGUG